RNAcentral lists this long non-coding RNA (217 nucleotides) under Piliocolobus tephrosceles (Ugandan red Colobus). RNAcentral's name for it is "lncRNA (ENSPTEG00000035181.1)". Lineage: Eukaryota; Metazoa; Chordata; Mammalia; Primates; Cercopithecidae. The record is from RNAcentral.
CUCCAGUAAAAAUACAAAAGUUAGCUGGGCGUGGUGGCACACACCUGUAAUCCCAGCUACUUGGGAGGCUGAAGUGGGAGAAUUGCUGAAACCCAGGAGGUGGAGGCCGCAAUGAGCUGAGAUCAUGCCACUGCAUUCUAGCCUGGGAGACAGAGACUCUGUCUUGAAGAAAGCAAAUUUAUACGUCUGAUUUAGCAGCUAUCCUACAUCAGACAGG